AGACGUAGGUGGCGAGCGUUGUCCGGAUUUAUUGGGCGUAAAGGGCUCGUAGGCGGCUUGACAAGUCGAUCGUGAAAACCCGGGGCUCAACCCCGGGACGCCGGUCGAAACUGUCAUGGCUAGGGUCCGGUAGAGGUGAGUGGAAUUCUCGGUGUAGCGGUGAAAUGCGCAGAUAUCGAGAGGAACACCAGUAGCGAAGGCGGCUCACUGGGCCGGUACCGACGCUGAUGAGCGAAAGCGUGGGGAGCAAACAGGAUUAGAAACCCCAGUAGUCC
Molecule: ribosomal RNA, 275 nt
Filed under: uncultured bacterium
Lineage: Bacteria
Description: partial 16S ribosomal RNA
Rfam family: Bacterial small subunit ribosomal RNA
Source: RNAcentral